RNAcentral lists this long non-coding RNA (413 nucleotides) under Solanum tuberosum (potato). RNAcentral describes it as "long non-coding RNA (STUB_LNC002351)". The record is from RNAcentral. Lineage: Eukaryota; Viridiplantae; Streptophyta; Magnoliopsida; Solanales; Solanaceae.
CAGACCUCAAAGGAUGUCGAGGCGGGUUUCGGAUCGGACGGCUGAGAUGUAACUUGAGGGGCGGGAUCAGAUGAAGGACGAGGAGGACCAUGAUGGGAUUCAAUAGGGUCGGAAACUGAUAGGGUAGUGGUAGGGGGAGGAGGAGGGAGGUGUUUAGCGGCGGAUAUUGGUUCGUCGGAGUCCCCAAAGUCGUCGAUUUCAUCGGCGUCGAAACCCUCGAAGUGGCGGCUCUCGGCGGAGACAGGGGAGAGAUGGUGGAUGAGAAGGGAUAGGAUGGAGAAAAGGGCAAUAAGGUAAAAGAGAGUGUCGCCUCUAGGGAGGAUGAAGGAAGAGAGAGGAGAGAGGGAAAAGGAGUGCUUCGCCAUGAGAGAGUUUGGAUUUGAUCUCUCUCACCUUCGCUUCUGAUAAGCAGA